RNAcentral lists this ribosomal RNA (526 nucleotides) under uncultured Methylophilaceae bacterium. RNAcentral describes it as "bacterial SSU rRNA". It matches the Rfam family "Bacterial small subunit ribosomal RNA", at positions 380 to 906 of the family's 1533-position model. Lineage: Bacteria; Pseudomonadati; Pseudomonadota; Betaproteobacteria; Nitrosomonadales; Methylophilaceae. The record is from RNAcentral.
AAGCUGAGCAGCAACGCCGCGUGAAGGAUGAAUGGCCUUUGGCCUGUAAACUUCUGUAAAAGAGGAAAAAUAGUUAGGUAUAUCCUAAUGUGAUUGUACUCUUGAAGUAAGCCCCGGCUAACUACGUGCCAGCAGCCGCGGUAAUACGUAGGGGGCAAGCGUUGUCCGGAUUUACUGGGUGUAAAGGGUGCUCAGGCGGACUUAUAAGUCAGUGGUGAAAUCCCGGAGCUUAACUCCGGAACUGCCAUUGAUACUGUAAGUCUCGAGUUUGGGAGAGGUAGAUGGAAUAUCUGGUGUAGCAGUGAAAUGCGUAGAUAUCAGAUAGAACACCAAUGGCGAAGGCAGUCUACUGGUCCAAUACUGACGCUAAAGCACGAAAGUGUGGGUAGCAAACAGGAUUAGAUACCCUGGUAGUCCACACCCUAAACGAUGAAUACUAGACGUUGGCCCUUUUAAGGGUCAGUGUCUGAGCUAACGCAUUAAGUAUUCCACCUGGGAAGUACGAUCGCAAGGUUGAAACUCAAGG